Molecule: RNA transcript, 4795 nt
Organism: Rosa chinensis
Lineage: Eukaryota; Viridiplantae; Streptophyta; Magnoliopsida; Rosales; Rosaceae
Exons: 8
Source: RefSeq, a predicted model, not a curated record
AACAAAACCGAAUACCUUUUCCUUUCUCUGUUUAAAACUGGGCUUUUAAUGUCGUCCGGCUUCUUCAAUAGCCGAUCUCAAUACCAACCUGACAUGUAGAAGUUCAAAUUGGUAAUCCAAAGGAUUCAAUUCAACUCUUGUCUUCUGGAGCAGCUCUAACUGGUAUUUGUGAAUGAUCAAUUCCUGAACCACCCAGAACAUUGAAUCAGAGUUCGAGUUGUAUCUGCAAGAGCUUACCACUCCCUCUUUAUGCGUAGCAUCUAAGUAAUGAGGAUGAUAUGAUCGAUUACCUAAAAUCUGUAAGGCUGUUGUAUCUCAUAAAUAUCAUUUGCCCCUAAGUAGGUUCCUUAUGGUUUGCACUUUAGUUUGAACUUUGUUACAGUGUUCUUCUUCAUAUUUGUCAAAGAAAAUGGACAAGGGUUGGGUAAGAUUGAAGAGGGGUAGUGCAGAUUACAAGUUACGAUUACGAGGCUGGAUCUCACACGUCUUAGCAGUUGCAUCCUUUCAUGGAAACAUCAAAUGUCCUUGCAGAUCAUGUGUAAAUGGGGAGUGGCAUGACGGGGAUUCUGUUUAUGGCCACUUGGUGGUUGAAGAUAUUGACCAUUCUUACAUAGAUGGUCCUUGGGUGUGGCAUGGUGAAGCAUUCGGUGUUGAACAGCCUGUGUGUUCGACCUAUGGAGAAGAUACUAAUUCUGGCAUGGCUGACAUGAUACAUGAUCUUUUCCCAAGCAUAGAUGGACAGGAAGGUCCAUGUGAGAAUGAGAACAAUGCUCCCACUUCUGAGAAUGAGAACCAUGGUCCACUCCAACCUAUGCCAGAUGAUGUUCAUCGCUUUCGACUAUUGCUGGAAGAAGCCAAUCAGGACUUAUAUCCAGGUUGCAUAGCAAUGAAAAAGCUGGAAUUUCUUAUCAAAGUAUUCCAGAACAAGUGCUUAUAUGGCCAGAUGUAUCUGUAUCUGCGUGGCUGAAGUUGAUUAAAAAAAUUCUCCCGGCAGGGGAGACAUUGCCUAGCAACUUCUAUAGGACAAAAAGGAUAGUCAAAGCAUUUGAGCUGAAGUAUGAGAAGAUCGAUGCAUGUCGUAAUGACUGCAUGCUGUAUUGGAAACAAAACAGUUCAUUAGAUGCAUGUCUUACUUGUGGGACAAGCCGAUAUACAGAGGAGAUUGGAAACAACAGCAACAGUAAGAAGAAAAGGGUAGCUCAGAAGGUAUUGAGCUAUUUUCUGAUAACUCCUCGGUUGCAGCGUUUGUAUAUGUCCUAGUAUACUGCUGAAGACAUGGCAUGGCAUUCCGAUAAGCGCUCUUCUGAUGGUAAUUUAAGGCACCCUGCUGAUUCACAAGCCUGGAAGCAUUUGGAUACGAAAUUUCCAGACUUUGGUAGUGAAGGGCGUAAUGUGAGGCUUGGUUUGGCUAGCGAUGGAUUCAAUCCAUUUGGUGAUAUGAGUUCCUCACACAGUACAUGGCCAGUCAUUCUGACAGUUUAUAAUUUGCCUCCUGGAAGUGCAUGAAGCAACCUUAUAUGAUGAUGGCUCUCUUGAUCCCAGGGCCCCGUUCUCCUGGUAAUGACAUUGAUGUGCACCUGGAACCUUUAAUUGAUGAGCUUAAGAUUUUGUGGGAGAAUGGUAUCCCCACCUAUGAUGCAUUCAAGAAAGAAACAUUCAACAUGCGGGCUGCAGUGAUGUGGACAAUAAAUGACUUUCCGGCAUAUGCAAAUUUGUCCGGUUGGAGUACCAAGGGCAAGUUAGCAUGUCCUAACUGCAACUACAACACAAGAUCAACAUGGCUACCCCAUGGCAAAAAGCAUGUCUACAUGGCACACCGACGUUUCCUACCACUUCUACACAUAUUCCGUCGCUAUCGAAAAUCAUUUAAUUUGUCUGCAGAAACAGAUCGUGCUCCCACUCCAAUGACAGGAUCCUUUUGUCUUCGACGCUUAUCUAAACUCAGGUUUAAGUUUGGUAAGCCCCCACCACCCAAGGUUGGGCAAAAGAGACAUGCUCAACCAGUCUCCACUGAAGGGCCAUGGAAAAAGAGGAGCAUUUUUUUCGAGUUGCCAUACUGGGAACAUCUACUAAUUCGGCACAAUAUCAACGUAAUGCACGUCGAGAAAAAUGUGUGUGAGAGCUUAUUAGGAACCUUGUUGGAAGCUUCAACCAAAAACAAGGAUACAAUUAAGGCACGAUUGGACAUGCAAUUGAUAGGGAUAAAGCCUGAUUUGUGGCCGGUCACAGAGGGAAAUAAAACUGAAUUGCCUUUGGCUGAAUACACCAUGAUGAGUUGGGAGAAAGAGCUAUUCUGCAUGAUACUAGCAUCUAUAAGAGUACCUGACAAUUAUUCAUCAAAUAUAGCCCGACAUGUGAAUGUAAAGGAGCGGACUAUUCAUGGAUUAAAAAGUCAUGACUGUCAUGUAAUCAUGCAGCAACUCCUCCCCUUGAUGCUUCGAAGGUCACUUCCUUCUGCUGCUGCUAAGGUGUUGAUGGAGUUAAGUGCUUUUUCCGACAUCUUUGCAGCAAAAAUGGUUCAGUUGAGCAUUUUCUUGAUCUGAAGAGAAGGAUAGCUAUGGUGCUUUGUCAAAUGGAGAAGAUGAUGCCCCCAUCAUUUUUUGAUGUAAUGGUUCACUUGCCAAUACAUUUGGUAGAGGAAGCUGCACUUGCUGGUCCGAUCUUCUUCAGAUGGAUGUACCCAAUUGAGAGGUACAUAUAUACACUGCAGAACUAUGUUCGGAAUCGGAAUCGACCUAAAGGGAGCAUUGCCUAAGGGUACCUAUCUGAUGAGUCUAUGUCCUUCUGUGCAAUGUACUUAGAAGACAUAUUGACACGAAGAAAUAGACCUAGUCGUAAUGAGGAUGGAAUCGGUCGGAAUGUAGAAGGUGGACUGUCCAUAUUUCAAGGUGGUAGACGUGCACUUGGAGCUGCGGAAGAGUUUCAACUCAAUGAUGAUGACUGGGAGAGUGCUAGGUCUUGUGUUUUGGCUAAUUGUCCAGAGGCUAAGCCUUAUGAAAGGCAUGGGAAAAAUUCAGUAUUGUAUUAUUACAAUGAAUAAUUAUUAAUAGAAUACAAAGGAUGUUUAAUUCAUGUCUUAACACUUUUGACACAUGAGCAGAAGGCAUGUAAGGGAAGCCCAGGCCAAUCGAGGCCGUCGUGUCACCUUGCUGCAAUCUGAAAAAAGAGCUAAGAAGUCAUUUCCCAAUUGGUUUGACAAACUUGUUAAUGGAAUGCACAACGAGGGUGAUCCACAGGUGACUGAAGAUUUGUUGGCUUUGGCUAAUGGCCCCAGCAAAUGGUGUACUAGAUACAAAAGCUAUGUAAGCAAUGGAUUUAGAUUUAAAGUGAGGAAUGGAUUGGAAGAUGAUAAGCGUCAAAAUUGGGGGGUGUGGCUCCAAGCAGAAAUGUCUAGCUAUGCAACUGCAAACGAUUGCAACCAUCGGGAAGGGAUGGUUGGUCUCUACAGCGCCCUUGUUGAUAUAAUUGAACUGCAAUAUCGCGGUGACAGAAACAUUGUGUUAUUUAAAUGUGAUUGGCCGGAAGUAAAUUCACGCGGUGGAGAAGUGAAGAAGGAUGAAUAUGGUUUUACUCUAGUUAACUUCAACAAGUGUAUGAGACCUGAGGAUCCGUACGUAUUUGCAUCGUAUGCCAUUCAAGCUAUGUUUGUGAAGGAUCCAACUGAUGUUGAAUGGCACGUUGCCAUCAAGACCAGGCCUAGGGACUUUUUUGAUAUGUCUUCAACACCAAUUGAUGAUCCAUGUUCAAGGCAAGAUCUAGAACAUGUAACAGGUGAUGAUGAUCAUCUACCCAUUAGGACAGAUGUGAGAAGUAGAAAGGAUUAAAAGCUGUUUGGGCAAGAGUGUUGAAAAUGGGAGGACAGGUGGCAGUUAUGGAACAGGAUCCCGCUUGAUUGUUUGAAAAGGACAGAAGUGUGGGAAAACCACAACUCAAACUAGAGCCAAAGUUGCUAACCCGGGAAAAGGAGGUUUGUGGGACCUGAAAAAGAUUUUAAAAUGGACUACCACGGGAUGGUCAGCCAUAUUAACCCUUAUCAAUGUUAAAAGCAUUCUCCAACCUCCCUCUCAUCAGUUAGAAGAACAGAAAGCUUAAGCACAUUUACAAAUACAAAGCAAAUAGGCUUCCUCUAGGCUGGGAUAGAAGGUUUGAAGAUGACCAAUGAUACGGUUGGGAAUGGAAGUUGGGCUGUAUCAUUAGGUGCAGACAUGGAGACGCAACAACCGCUAGAUCCUUUGUACCAUUACAACAUGGAGGUGAAUUCUACUGUGAAUGAUACAGCGGAGGAGACUGAAAAUCCAAAUUGUGCUGAAAGAUCGAGUGCAGCAAAGAUGCGUCGAUUUCGGAUUAAUAGAUGCCCUAAUAGGCCUAGAUGGGCCGCAAACGGGACUGUGGAAAAACUGAAGUUUAAUGCCAAAGGACAACCAGUUGCACCACCUUACACAGUUGCCAGGUUCUCUAGGUUCUUGGGGUGGCUCGCAUUGGAGUCAUCGUUCUUCCCGAUUGAUAAUACUGAUUGGAGAAAUUUCUACAAGGCCUCAAACAUGGAUGCUGCUUGGGAGAGGAUUAAGAGAACGAUUGAUUGGAGCAAUGUAGAUGUGGCAAUGUAGCCAUUUGUUCGCCGAGUCUGCGAACUCAAAUUGAAUGAUAGGUGGAAGAGAGUUAUAAGUCACGACUCCGGAGGUUAUACUACAAGCCAAACAUCGGUACUCCAAGGAGGUUUUCCUGCAGCCAUCCUAGUGUGAACCAAACCCAAUGGAGGCCGCUCGUGGCUGAGUGGGAUAAAAACCCUAAUCAG